GGUGUAAUGUCCCUGAACAACUUGCAGGGAUCCAGGAGAAAAAAAAAACACCAUUCAUAAGCAAAGGAUAAACUAUGGGAGUGGAAACACCGAGAAAAAGCAACUGCCUGAAUACAGAGGUUGAGGGGACAUGACAGAGGAUAGACUUUAAAUGAACACUCCAAUGCAAAUACUAUCAACAAAGCAAUGGGUUCAAAUCAAGAAAACAUCUAAUGCCCAGUGGACUUACGCGUCGGCUAUGGGGGGUGGGGGGGAGGAAAAGAAAAUGAUCUAUGUCUUUAACGAAUAAUGCUUGGAAAUGAUCAAAUAAAAUAUAUUAAAAAAAAAAACUCAUAGUUAAAUUUUUUUUCUAUGGAAGAUGUUCAUUUCUAGGCAGUAAUACUUAGCCCUUUAUACACAGCUUCUAUUAUAUCUUUUCCUCUGUCAUUCUGACCCUGAGAUCCCCAGUUUCUGACCCUCUCAUACUUUCAUACUUUCCUCGCUCCCCCACCUCUCUCUCUCUCCCUCUCUCUCUCCCUCUCCUCUCACUCUCUCCCUCUUCUCUCUCUCUCCUUCUCUCUCUCCCUCUCCUCUCUCCUCUCUCCUUCUCCUCUCUCCUCUCUCCCUUCUCUCUCCUCUCUCUCUCCUCUCUCUUUCUCUCUUUCUCUCUCUCUCCUCUCUCUUUCUCUAUUUCUCUCUCUCUCUCUUUCUCUCUCCCCCUCUCUCUCUUUCUCUCUCUCCCUCUUCUCUCUCUCUCUCUUGCUCUCGCUCUCUUUCUCUCUCUCUCUCCCUCUCUCUCUCCCUCUCUCUCUCCCUCUCCUCUCUCCUCUCCCUCUCCUCUCUCCUCUCUCCCUUCUCUCUCCUCUCUCUCUACUCUCUCUUUCUCUCUAUUUCUCUCUCUCUCUCUCUCUCCCUCUUCUCUCUCUCUCUCUUUCUCUCUCCCCCUCUCUCUGUCUCUCUCUCUCCCCCCUCUCUCCUUUCUUCCCUCCCUCCUCCCCUCUCCUUUGCCCUCUCCCCCUUAUGCUGGGAGAAACCCAAAUAUAAAAGGAGCCAAUGCAACAUGA
Molecule: long non-coding RNA, 1043 nt
Filed under: Monodelphis domestica (gray short-tailed opossum)
Lineage: Eukaryota; Metazoa; Chordata; Mammalia; Didelphimorphia; Didelphidae
Description: lncRNA (ENSMODG00000042668.1)
Source: RNAcentral